GCGGGAUUAGUUCAGUGGUAGAACGUCUCUUUUCCAAAGAGAAGGUCAGGGGUUCGAAUCCCCUAUCCCGCUCCA
This 75-nucleotide transfer RNA is filed under the name Candidatus Roizmanbacteria bacterium. RNAcentral describes it as "tRNA-Gly". It matches the Rfam family "tRNA". From Rfam's summary of the family: Transfer RNA (tRNA) molecules are approximately 80 nucleotides in length. Their secondary structure includes four short double-helical elements and three loops (D, anti-codon, and T loops). Lineage: Bacteria; Candidatus Roizmaniibacteriota. The record is from RNAcentral.